UACGGAGGGUGCAAGCGUUAUCCGGAUUCACUGGGUUUAAAGGGUGCGUAGGCGGGCAGGCAAGUCAGUGGUGAAAUCCUGCAGCUUAACUGCGGAACUGCCAUUGAUACUGCUGUUCUUGAGUACAUUUGAUGUGGGCGGAAUGUGUCGUGUAGCGGUGAAAUGCUUAGAUAUGACACAGAACACCGAUUGCGAAGGCAGCUCACAAAACUGUAACUGACGCUGAGGCACGAAAGCGUGGGGAUCAAACAGG
Molecule: ribosomal RNA, 253 nt
Filed under: uncultured bacterium
Lineage: Bacteria
Description: partial 16S ribosomal RNA
Rfam family: Bacterial small subunit ribosomal RNA
Source: RNAcentral